UACAGAGACUGCAAGCGUUAUUCGGAUUCACUGGGCGUAAAGGGUGCGCAGGCGGCCAAGUGUGUUAGGUGUGAAAGCCCGGGGCUUAACCCCGGAAUUGCACCUAAAACUACAUGGCUAGAGCAUUGGAGAGGGGAGCAGAAUUCACGGUGUAGCAGUGAAAUGCGUAGAUAUCGUGAGGAAUACCAGAGGCGAAGGCGGCUCCCUGGACAAUUGCUGACGCUCAGGGACGAAAGCGUGGGGAGCAAAAGGG
This 253-nucleotide ribosomal RNA is filed under the name uncultured bacterium. RNAcentral's name for it is "partial 16S ribosomal RNA". It matches the Rfam family "Bacterial small subunit ribosomal RNA", at positions 524 to 776 of the family's 1533-position model. The record is from RNAcentral.